GACGAACGCUGGCGGCGUGCCUAAUACAUGCAAGUAGAACGCUGAGGGAGGAGCUUGCUUCUCUGGAUGAGUUGCGAACGGGUGAGUAACGCGUAGGUAACCUGCCUGGUAGCGGGGGAUAACUAUUGGAAACGAUAGCUAAUACCGCAUAAGAGUAGAUGUUGCAUGGCAUUUGCUUAAAAGGUGCAAUUGCAUCACUACCAGAUGGACCUGCGUUGUAUUAGCUAGUUGGUGAGGUAACGGCUCACCAAGGCAACGAUACAUAGCCGACCUGAGAGGGUGAUCGGCCACACUGGGACUGAGACACGGCCCAGACUCCUACGGGAGGCAGCAGUAGGGAAUCUUCGGCAAUGGACGGAAGUCUGACCGAGCAACGCCGCGUGAGUGAAGAAGGUUUUCGGAUCGUAAAGCUCUGUUGUAAGAGAAGAACGAGUGUGAGAGUGGAAAGUUCACACUGUGACGGUAUCUUACCAGAAAGGGACGGCUAACUACGUG
RNAcentral lists this ribosomal RNA (495 nucleotides) under uncultured bacterium. RNAcentral describes it as "partial 16S ribosomal RNA". It matches the Rfam family "Bacterial small subunit ribosomal RNA", at positions 28 to 507 of the family's 1533-position model. The record is from RNAcentral.